RNAcentral lists this ribosomal RNA (292 nucleotides) under uncultured bacterium. RNAcentral describes it as "partial 16S ribosomal RNA". It matches the Rfam family "Bacterial small subunit ribosomal RNA", at positions 505 to 796 of the family's 1533-position model. The record is from RNAcentral.
GUGCCAGCAGCCGCGGUAAAACGUAGGAGCCAAGCGUUAUCCGAAUUUACUGGGCGUAAAGCGCGUGCAGGCGGUUGGGUAAGUGGGCUGUGAAAUCUCCCGGCUCAACUGGGAGGGGACGGUCCCGACUGCCCGACUGGAGGCAGGUAGAGGGAGGUGGAAUUCCCGGUGUAGUGGUGAAAUGCGUAGAUAUCGGGAGGAACACCAGUGGCGAAGGCGGCCUCCUGGACCUGACCUGACGCUCAGACGCGACAGCUAGGGGAGCGAACGGGAUUAGAUACCCUUGUAGUCC